UACGGAGGGUGCGAGCGUUGUUCGGAAUUAUUGGGCGUAAAGCGCGUGUAGGCGGUUUGUUAAGUCUGAUGUGAAAGCCCCGGGCUCAACCUGGGAAGUGCAUUGGAAACUGGCAGACUUGAAUACGGGAGAGGGUAGUGGAAUUCCUAGUGUAGGAGUGAAAUCCGUAGAUAUUAGGAGGAACACCGGUGGCGAAGGCGGCUGCCUGGACCGAUAUUGACGCUGAGACGCGAAAGCGUGGGGAGCAAAC
Molecule: ribosomal RNA, 250 nt
Filed under: uncultured bacterium
Lineage: Bacteria
Description: partial 16S ribosomal RNA
Rfam family: Bacterial small subunit ribosomal RNA
Source: RNAcentral